RNAcentral lists this ribosomal RNA (253 nucleotides) under uncultured bacterium. RNAcentral describes it as "partial 16S ribosomal RNA". It matches the Rfam family "Bacterial small subunit ribosomal RNA", at positions 524 to 776 of the family's 1533-position model. The record is from RNAcentral.
UACGUAGGAUGCAAGCGUUGUUCGGAAUUACUGGGCGUAAAGGGCUCGUAGGCGGCCAACUAAGUCAGACGUGAAAUCCCUCGGCUUAACCGGGGAACCGCCUCUGAUACUGGCUGGCUGGAGUUCGGGAGAGGGAUGCGGAAUUCCAGGUGUAGCGGUGAAAUGCGUAGAUAUCUGGAGGAACACCGGUGGCGAAGGCGGCAUCCUGGACCGACACUGACGCUGAGGAGCGAAAGCCAGGGGAGCAAACGGG